UGCCCAAUGGCUGAGAUCAGCUUCAGAGGCUUUUCUUGGGAGACCCAACCAUCUAAGGCAGGGGUUUUCAACUCUGGGGCCUCAGAUGUUGUUGGACCACAGCUCCCAUCAUCCUCAGCCAAAGGCCAUUGUGGCUGGGGAUAAUGGGACUUGCUGUCCAAUAACAUCUGGGGACCCAAGGCUAGGAACCCAUAAUCUAAAGUAAGGGUGGGGGUUGCUGGAGAGCGGGUCUUCUGGGUCAUCGUGCUCAGUUUGCAGCCUUUCCUCCCCAAGGUGGCUCACCUGGCACCUAGAGUGGUAUCCUUCUGGCACUAUGUGAAGACUUUUUUCUUCUCUCAGGCAUUUUGUUCUCUUUCAAAUUUCGGUUUUAAAUUGAUUUGUUUGCUUUUAACAGCUGUUUUGAUUGUUUGGGUUGCAUUUUUACUUAUCACUGUAUUGUUCUAUUAUGUUUUUUAAAAAUUUUAAAUGGAAAUUUAAAUGAAGAGUGGUAUAAUUAUUUUAAAAUGAAUAAAUAAAAAUAAUAUUCAUCACUAGAAUAAUCCAAGAGGAACAGCUUACAUACGAAAAGCUCUACUGGAUCAGUUCCAUGGCCUAUCGAAUGCAGCAUCCUGUUGCACACAGUGGCUCAUCAGAUGCUUCUGAUGCUCAUAGGCAAGAGGUGAGGGCAUGCCCUCUCUCCUGCUGUUGCUCUUCUGCAACUGGUAUUUAGAGGCAUCUUGCCUCUGAGGCUGGAGGUGUCCUAUAGCCACCAGACUAGUAGCCAUUUGAUAGACCUGUCCUCCGUGAACUUGUCUAAGCCCCUUUUAAAGCCAUCCAAGCUAUCACUGCAUCCCGUGGCAGAGAAUUCCAUAUACUAAUUAUUCAAUAGAGUUGUCCAUAGAUUUAUCUGUGCAUGCUGUUUCUGGGUUAACAUUUGUUCCUUGCAGGGGGGUUGCAGUCGAAUCCUAAAUUUAAAAGUAAGCCCCACUGAGUGUAAUGGGACUUUAUUCCUAAUAUGUAUACUUGAUAUUGCAGUCUUAAGCUUCACUUGGCUCACAGGGGAACAAGUGCCCACAUAUCUCUUGGUCUUUUUCACAGAAUUCUUCCAUGGGAUUUGUUCCUUGCAAACGUGCUCUGUCCAAAGGGUGAACAAAACAAUAAGCCCCUCCCACCUCUUUACAACCAGGGUGGAGUUAAGGAGACACAAAAAGCAGCUGCUAGGCUGAGUCAGCCGAGUGAGCCAGCCUUCUGUCAUGUUGCAUUUCCUUUUCUCUCAACAUCUUGUACUGCCAACUGUUUAUCUUUUGCUGUUUAUGGGGAACUAAAUUCCACCCAUUCAUUUCCUUAUAAUUAAUAUGAUUUUCAGACCCAUCUUGCACUCACCCUGAUGUUUAUGCGGAUGGGGUUGCAUUGCGAGCAGCAAGCCCCAUCUGGAGGAACUGUAUUAGUCAUAGGCAGUUGGUGCUUUUCUGAGGAGAGAUAAUGAGGUCCUCCUUGGCUCUAAUCAUUGUUUGUGGAACUUGCAAAAAUAAAUGGUGCAGCGCAGAAUACAGUGUGAUCCAACCACCACAGGCCUGGUCAUUUGUGAGUCUGCAAGGCUUCUGCAGAGAAGUUGAGUAGAUCUUUCAGUGCAGAUUGGACUGCGGCAUAUGAUCAGGUGGCAACAAAUCAAAGUCCUUCAAGGUUACCGCAUGUGUAUGCCAAAGUCAGAAGUGGAAUUAUUUGAAUGAGCUUGAAGAAAAAUGGAAUGAAACACACUGCAUGAACCCAUGGAGUCGCCCUGACUGCAGUUCGGCUUCUGUCUGUUUUGUCCGAAUGUGGACAGGCAUAUGGAGUACAAAGCAGAGGUCAAAUAUGGGGAUGAAAGGCAUUUGACACUAUGACAGCCACUCUGGGGAGCAGAAAUAAUCUCGACUCCCCCCUGCCCCAGGAGCCACCUGUCAACCGUGACCUCUUUCCUUCAGAGGUGAAAAAAACCUAAAAGAUGAAAGAGAAAUGUCACCCAGGAGAUAAUAUCAUUCACACUGGGAAUAAAACAUGACACAUCCCCCUCUCUGAAGGCAGGGCCCUUUGCAUAAGGGGCACAGGGAUGAAAUAGAAACGUUGAGAGCUCUGAAAGUUCACCAUGAUGAAGGAACACGCACCAGCCGCCACUCAAAUCAAGAUCUUGCCAGGGAGGACUAGCUGCUGCUGAGCAACUCAGUGCCGAACUGCACAAUACAACGUGGCGAAUAUGACAGGCUAUAGUCCAAAUGCAACCCACAAUCUCAUAUGACUUAAUGUUCCAUCGGAUAAAGGCAGGACUUGUUCAAAUUCUGAACACAACUUAUCUAACUGGUCCAGAGAGUUUAAGAAAUCCUUAUUCUACUUUGUACUUUAUUCAGAGCUGAGCAAUUCUGCUUCCGUUCCUCCAACAUUAUCAUGGAUGCCCUUGUGCAGGGGUUGUCAACUUUGGGUCCCCAAAUGUUGUUAGAUUACAACUCCCAUCAUGCCUAGCUACAACAGUAAAAAACCAUUGGAAUUUGCACACUCUGCUGCUGUGCUCUUCCUACUAUCUUCUGAGCAACUGGGGCUUUUUAGAACUAUUUGGGUUUCUUUUAACACAUAGAAUCUGGUACCUUUUGUAUAGUUACUGGCAGAAUUCAGCUAUUCCUGACAGAGCCAAGACAUGGUUGUCUUUCCAAGUCCUAACUCAAAAAGAUGUCCCUUCUUGAUAAUAUAAUCCAGUUCUUCUUCCAGACAGGAGGGGAAGUCUUUCUACCAGUGGCACUCUUACUCCUGGACAUUGGGGCCAAGGUCCAUGGCCACCACACCCCCUGGGGUGGCCUCUUUAAUCCUCUUUA
Hemicordylus capensis (graceful crag lizard) is the source of this 2822-nucleotide long non-coding RNA. RefSeq lists it as uncharacterized. NCBI's taxonomy places the organism in Eukaryota, Metazoa, Chordata, Lepidosauria, Squamata, Cordylidae. The record is from RefSeq and is a predicted model, not a curated record. The transcript has 3 exons.